UUUCUAAAAACACACCCUAGGCUGUUGGCCCCACGCCCCCACGACUCCACAGCCGCGGCCCCAACUCGCCCCUGGAUGCUGAAUCAGUGGUUCGAGUCGCCGCCCCCUCUACCGGCCUCCACCUCCUCCGGUCGCAUCUCCGACAGCCUAGACGUCGCUUCUCCUCCGCCUCCGCCGGCUUCCAACCGCCAUACGCCAAGUCGGGUUUCGCCCCGAACGUUAGCAACCGCCGCCACUCCUGCUCAGCUGGGUCGCCGCCACAUCCGGAAGCAAGCUCUCUGCAAUCCGAGGAAGUCAUGACUUGCUGAAAAGCAGAAGAGGUUAAAUAUAAGAGCGAGCAAGGAUGAACUCUGGCAGGAAGUUUGGCGGUGGGCGCCCACCAACAGGAACUCCUUCCCUUGCAUUGUCUUCAGUUGUGAUUGCUCUCUCACUCCUCGCUGACUAUUCAACCCAUGGAGAGUGUGAAUAGUGGCAGUGACAACAACCAGAAGAGCUGAGUACAAACAUCACGUGCUGGAAGCUGAACAUGGGAACCCUGGUUUCAGAGGUUGAUUCUUUUUGUCUUUUAGUAUGUAUUGUUGAGAGAUGAUACUGAAAUUACAUACUUUGUUCAGACAGAAAGAUAGCAUGAGUCUGAAUUACUGUUUGUGCUUCUGAAUUUUGAUGGCUUCCCUCGUAUUUGUGGCAUGGAAAAGAAAGAUGUGAGAAGUUUUAAUGUU
Setaria italica (foxtail millet) is the source of this 719-nucleotide long non-coding RNA. RefSeq lists it as uncharacterized. The transcript has 3 exons. The record is from RefSeq and is a predicted model, not a curated record. Lineage: Eukaryota; Viridiplantae; Streptophyta; Magnoliopsida; Poales; Poaceae.